Molecule: long non-coding RNA, 1168 nt
Filed under: Salmo salar (Atlantic salmon)
Lineage: Eukaryota; Metazoa; Chordata; Actinopteri; Salmoniformes; Salmonidae
Description: lncRNA (ENSSSAG00000119969.1)
Source: RNAcentral
UGCUCAUCUAACAAAACCAUUUCUCCAGUUAAAUAAGAUCUGAGGAGCUAGAUUUAGCUGUAGCCGCAGUGAGAGUAAUGAUUGAACAUAGUGGCCACAUUGCUAGUUAAUCACCAUACAUCAGGUCCUGUGGUGGAGAGGCCUACAAAAGUCAGGCCACAGAGGUGUCUACAGUCUCUGCCGCCAAGCCUCCCUGUCUCCGAUAACACAUCCAGCGCUGAAGACGAGCGAUCACACCACUUGACAAGUCACCUCUGGCUGAACUCCCCUUACCCCUGUCCACCCCCCUUCUUAGGCUGCUCUCUACUCCUGCACACUUCUCACACCGCCUGCCCUCAUGCACCCUUAUGAGUGGAUGCUGGAAUACCUGGAAGUCUAUCUCCGGUGUACACACACACACACACACACACACACACACACACACACACACACACACACACACACACACACACACACACCCCUCUCCCCCAGCAGCCCCAGGGUCAGUCCCUGCCUCUACCUCCCCAGCAGCCCAAACCCAGCAGUGUCCUGCCCACACAACUUGACCAGGUGAGCCCCACGGUGCAGCUCUGCCUCUGGGCUCAGGCCUCUCAGCGGCCAUUCAUCACCCAGCCGACACAUUCCUGUUGAACGCCUGGGAGGCUUACGCUCCUCUCUGACGCCUACGACCCAGCAGCCUACUGGCCCUGGGAUGAGCUCACUGAGAAGCCACAGCUGACUUUGUUUUACGAGCAUCCAGGUGGAUAGAUCAGAAUCCAGGACAGGAGGAAGACCUGGGAAGAGGCAAGAAUCACAAUGAGGCCCCCAUGCUGAGGGCAGUUGUCACCGGGCUCUUUUACACAUCAAGUCCCAGGCCUCGUCACUUCCUGGGCCUUGUGCUAGCCCCACUGUAGCGCUCUGUCACUCCAUAGGGGAGACGCUUCAAAAGAGCUUGAUGAAAGCUAAGGAGGGAUGGGGCCUGGGGGACGUUUAUCUUUGUGUUGCGUACCAAGGCCUCUUUCAUGUCAAACAAACCCUCUCUAGCAUUCCCCAAUGUACUACAGGCUCAGCACUCAAAGACAAAGGUGGUUGAAAAUGGUAGUGGUCGAGGGGGAGGAUAGAUGAAGGUCGUUAGAAUGUGGCCCACACUGGAGGCUUUAAAUGAUGCCCGGACUGAUACUGUGGAGGC